Long non-coding RNA from Nerophis ophidion (straightnose pipefish), 1579 nucleotides. RefSeq lists it as uncharacterized. Lineage: Eukaryota; Metazoa; Chordata; Actinopteri; Syngnathiformes; Syngnathidae. The record is from RefSeq and is a predicted model, not a curated record. The transcript is spliced from 4 exons.
UUGUGAAAAAUAUAAGAAAAUACAUAUGUUCUGUUCUGGCUCUUGUUUUUGGCUCAACAAAAUUGAACUUUGAACAAGCUGCAAACAGCUCUUUUAACUUUCAACAACAACAAAAAUCCAUUUUUCAAUGUAAGUUGUUCAAUCCUAUUCCCAUUUUCCUUGGAUUUACAUCAAGUGAUGUCCCAGUCUGAAUGUGCACCAUACACACAACAUUGCAAAUGUGUAUAUGUACAUCAUUAAGGCCAUGUUUAUUUUCCACACCAAAGCUGCAGAGAUAAUGCACCAGAGACUUCAUCCCUCCUCUCUGACAUACACACAUCAACAAGUGAUCACAUUUGACACUCAACGUACGCACACUCAAUAAAGACAUACAUACAUACAUACAUACAUAAAACAUGUGCUUUUUUUAAUAUAUUUUUCUUUCCAAAAGCAGACAUGAGCCAGAAACAAACCUGCAUCUUCCUCAAAGAGGUGUCGAGGAGACAAAGAAACCUCACCCACGAGGAGGCAGAAGCUAAUCCCUUUUUCAUAUCCUGUCUCCCAUGAUUUACAAAAAUGGGCAGUUUUUAUACUCUGGCCUUAUGUCCGCAUGCCCUCUAGAGUUACGUGAGGCAUUUGGGGAGUUUGAUAAAGACAAAGAUGGCUUCAUAACCUGUAAAAACUUGGGUAACUUGAUGAGGACCAUGGGUUACAUGCCAACCGUAAUGGAACUGAUACAACUCAGCCAAAACAUCAACAUGAACUUGGGAGGACGAGUGGACAUUAAGGACUUUCUGGAACUGAUGACCCCCAAGCUCUUGACUGAAACGGCAGCCAUGAUUGGUCUAAAAUAACUCAAAGAAGCUUUCAGAGAAAGUUUGUGAGAAUGAUGUCACAGAAGUGAGGGCAACAAAGGACUAUGCAUGUCUUCGAAUCAACUUGAUCCUUGGUUUGCUCUCAUGAGAUCGGUCAUUUUUACUGCAACUAUUAUUUUUGUUACAAAUGUAUGCACUACAUUUAAUACAGUUAUAUUCCACAAGACUUUAAUUUAAUGUCACCUAGUUUGCCAUGAAUCCCUAACACGGACAAUCGUCUCCUCAGAUAUGUCCUCAGAAAAGUAACUUCACGUCACCAUUUGUCUUUGAACUUUUUCAACUAAAUCUACAAUGCUUUAAGUGAAAAAAUUCAAUUGCAGUUUAAAAGGAUGCAGAAAAUGCAUGGAGUGAGACAUUUCCCACGUAAAACCCAAUAUCUGCUCACUUGACCGCGGUGCAAUUUACACUCAGCUGUUUGUUUACACGGACACUGUCGAUGCAAAACUUGGUGUGCAAAAAACGCAUACAGUACAUACCCGCUAUGUGCGAAUGAUACCUGACAAAUAAUUGCCACUAUUUUUUAACCUCAUGAUUCCGCGCCUACUUGCUCCUACCCCUCCAAACCUUCCUGCUAGCUUGACAUUCUCCUCUGAUUUCGGAUCAAUGCUUGCAAAAAAAUGAGUAUUUUUGUGAUUUUGUUAUUACCGGAUUAGAUUCUGCUCCAGAACCCUCCCUACGAAGAAAGCUAACACACUAAAUACUAGAAGCCUAAUCCAGAUUUAAGC